CUCCGAGUGUUUGACACAUUAGGAAUAAGAUGGAAAAAUUGAGAGGAAGAAAAUGUUGGGGACUGAGAGUUGUGGAAUCACAAUUUGUGACAUCAGGUGUUUUUUUGAUAAGCAGCCAUUUCUGAUUCCGGAAGAUUAAGGCAGAUAGGAAGCCCCUCCUGAGACUGUGAUAAAGCUCUCGAACAACAACCGACACCAUGGAUGUAAAACUGGAGCCUUCCUGGGAUGACCUGCCUCUCAUGGCCAACACCAGCCACAUACUUGUGAAGCACUAUGUACUGGAUUUAGAUGUGGAUUUCGAAAGUCAAAUCUUUGAGGGCACCAUAGUGCUUUUCUUUGAGUCUAGAAAUAGACUUGAGAAACAGAGUGAUUCCACCAAGGAAACCUGCCGAUCAGAGUCAAACGAAGCCUGCAGAUUCAGUACACCUGAACCCUGCCAUAGUCCUGUGACAGAUACAAGGACCUCCUCAUCCAAAACAGGAUAUAAUGAUUUUGCAAUCUGUGGUAAAGGUGAAAAAGAUACUUCUGGUAAAGAUGGUAACCAUGACAACCCGGAACAGGCUUCUGGGAUUUCUAGCUCAAAGUACUGCUGUGACACAGGGAAUCAUGGGAGUGAGGAUUUUUUGCUAGUUUUGGACUGCUGUGAUUUAUCUGUGUUCAAGGUCGAGGAGGUAGAUGUUGCUGCUGUGCCAGGUAUUGAAACAUUUACAGGGUCUCCCCAGAUCACAUUUGUUUCUGAGGAGCUCAGGAAUCAGAUUGUACAUGAACUUGUGACUCUGCCUGCAGAUCGUUGGAGGGAGCAGUUUGACUAUUUUGCUCACUGCAGCCAGGCUCCUGGCUGUGGGGAACUCCUGUUUGACACUGACACUUGGAGCUUACAGAUCAGGAAGACAGGGGCUCAGACAGCUACUGACUUUCCUCAUGCCAUACGGAUAUGGUACAGCACCAAACCCCAGGGGCGAUCAGUUACGUGGACCUCAGACCAGAGUGGCAGGCCAUGUGUUUAUACUAUGGGAUCUCCGAUAAACAACAGGGCUCUUUUUCCAUGCCAGGAGCCACCCGUUGCCAUGUCAACAUGGCAGGCUACAGUUGGAGCAGCUGCAUCUUUUGUUGUUUUAAUGAGUGGGGAAAAUUCUGCCAAGCCAACACAGCUUCGGGAAGGGCGUGCAAGUUGGCAUUACUAUGUAACUAUGCCGAUGCCAGCCUCUACCUUCACGAUCGCAGUGGGCUCCUGGGCAGAAAUGAAGCCAGAGAUCUGCUUGUCCGAGGAUCUGGCAGCAGAGAGAUCACUCACACCUUCCGAGGCUGACUUCAGGUGUGUUGGCGUUUGUGGUCACAUGGAAUACCCCUGCCGCUUCCAGAAUCCUUCUGCUACCACCCAGGAAGUUAUUCCUCAUCGGGUCUUUGCCCCGGUGUGCCUCCAGGGUGCCUGUCAAGAGACCCUUUUGCCACUGGUCCUUCCUUGCCUCUCAGCAGCACACUCUGUCCUGGGAACACACCCGUUCUCCAGGCUGGACAUACUCGUCGUCCCUGCCAACUUUCCAAGUCUGGGGAUGGCCAGCCCACACAUCAUUUUCCUCUCUCAGAGCGUCUUGAUAGGAAUGAACCAUCUCUGUGGGACCCGGCUCUGCCAUGAAAUCGCUCACGCCUGGUUUGGCCUAGCCAUUGGGGCCCGGGAUUGGACGGAGGAGUGGCUGAGUGAAGGGUUUGCCACUCACUUGGAAGACGUGUUCUGGGCCAAAGCGCAGCAGCUGGCCCCCCACGAGGCAUGGGAACAGCAGGAGCUGAAGGCUGAUCUGCGCUGGCGUUGCCUCCAGGAUGAGGUGCGGAACUACCCCGAGGAGAUGCAGGUGUUGAGACCCAAUAAAGAGAAAACUGGCCACGUGAGUGACUCAGGAUCAUCUGUCAUCAAACAUGGGCUCAAUCCUGAGAAGGUCUUCAUGCAGGUUCAUUAUUUAAAGGGCUAUUUCCUUCUCCGGUUUCUUGCCCAAAGACUUGGAGAUGACACCUAUUUUGCAUUUUUAAGAAAAUUUGUGCACACAUUUCAUGGGCAGUUGAUUCUUUCCCAGGAUUUCCUUCAAAUGCUGUUGGAGAACAUCCCAGAAGGAAAAAGGCUUGACUUGUCUGUGGAAAACAUCUUCCGAGACUGGCUUGAGAGUUCUGGAAUACCACAGCCGCUGCAGACGGAGCGCCAGGCCAGGGCGGAGUGCGGGCUCGCGCGGCGAGUGGGCGCCGAGGUCCACAAAUGGAUUCGAGUGAACCGGAGACCCCAAAAACGGAAACGAAGGGAGACUGAAGACGUGUUUGAAAAGCUCCUUCCAGACCAGCUUGUCUUGCUUCUGGAGCAUCUCUUAGAGCAGAAGACUCUGAACCCCCGAACUCUGCAAAGCCUCGAGAGGACAUACCAGCUCUCCCAACAGGAUGCAGAGGUUCGCCAUCGGUGGUGUGAACUCAUUGUUAAGCACAAAUACACCAAAGCGUACAAAGAUGUGGAGAGAUUCCUCCAGGAGGAUCAGGGGCUCGAGGACUCUUCCUGCCGGGGUGCCACGGACAUGCUGGUGUCCCAGCACACUGCCCUGGGAGGCUGUUCUGCAACUGUUGACACGCACACUGUGCCUCCGGAGCUACUUUCAGCCACGCAUGUUGCUGUGGCAGGCCAUGGGCAUAUACCUGUACGGGGAGCUGAUGGUGAGCGAGGAUGCCAGGCAGCAGCAGGUUGCCCGCCGGUGCUUUGAGCUGACCAAGGAGCAGAUGGAUAGAUCCUCAGCCCAGGUGGUGGCCGAGAUGCUGUUCUGAAGAGGGAUUACCACGCAUCCAUGACCUGGGCUGCUCCUCCAGAAGCCGUAGUUCUCUCUCUCUGCAGUUCGGAGAACAGAUGCAUCUUGUAGCUCUUCUCCAGAAACAGAAGAAGCAACAGCCGUGGAAGAUGCUCGGCGGCCCAUUCCUUAUGCCCAACCGACGACCUCUCUGCCGAGGUGCAGAGCUUAGCUGAUUGGUGAACAGUGACUGGUUUCCGCUUUGUUCACAGUGGCUAAGUUCUGCACCUGAAGAGAAGCCCCAGCGAGUUGCGCCGAGCUCCCAGCGGGGGCACUGCUGCCCGGGCUGAUUGGACCCGCCCUCCGGUGCCUACUGAGCUGAUAUCAGUUCUCAUUGUACACACUGGCUCAGUUCAGCAGGAACAGGAGUCGAGCCCUCGAGCAAAAAGCCUUCCCCGUCUGAAAGGUCACAGCGAGAUUCUUUUCCAUGCAUGUGCACCCAGCCCUGGUGGGACCGGGGCCGCGUAGAUGCUGGACGUCAGAGGAAGGGCACUGGGGCUGCUGAAGCCAGCAGCGUUCACGCCACAGUGCUU
Nyctereutes procyonoides (raccoon dog) is the source of this 3349-nucleotide RNA transcript. It is a transcript of the gene named aminopeptidase O (putative), with no coding region annotated. Lineage: Eukaryota; Metazoa; Chordata; Mammalia; Carnivora; Canidae. The transcript has 20 exons. The record is from RefSeq and is a predicted model, not a curated record.